CGUGGCGUCAUAAUGCUGCAACAGGCGAUGUGUCUGCUAGGAUUCAGCUGAGGAAAGUCCAUUACUCUCAUCGUCUUAAACAUGACAAAAUGUGCAAACAAGUAGGAAAGGUGAAACAGCAGAGAUCUAUAUGACAUAGGAUUAUAGACAUGGAGUUUAAGAGUGAAGACGUACGAAUUCCAGAACCAUGCAAACUGAAAAAUGAAGACACUAAGGACCAAAUAGCUAGCGUGCGAUCUCUACGCAGAAGCUGCACGCGCUCGUGACUCUAGCUCCGCCCAAAGCACUGACGGCAGACACGCCUCCAGGAUCCUUCACAGCCUAGCCUAUCCUGCACCAGUGACGACAGGAUUUUUUUCCAAAGAAAAUGGCAGGUGACAGAGGAAUAUACUUAUAAAUGGAGCAAGGAGCAGACAGCUGAGUUUAUUAAAAAUGAGGGCUGAAAAUGUUACCGGGGCCAAAAAUUCGGCCAGUGUGGCUUGGUGAGCUGAUGGAUGUGAAAGUGGAAAGUCAAGAACUGAAUGAAGCUGAGAAGAAACAUCAGUAUUACAGGCCUUGCAGAUUCAAAACUGGACAAGAAUCUUUUAAUGGCUCACAGACAGUUAAGAAUUUGCCACAAAAAAGAUCUAAAAAUUCUUUUACCUGCCCUCAAUGUGGAAAGAGUUUCACACAAAAAGGUCACCUUAAGGCUCACAUAAGAAUUCACACUGGAGAGAAGCCGUUUACUUGCCAGCACUGUGGAAAGAGUUUCACACAAAAAGGAAACCUUAAGGAUCACGUACGAAUUCACACUGGAGAGAAGCCAUUCACAUGUCAUCAGUGUGGAAUGAGUUUUACAUAUAAAAGAAGCCUUAAUGAUCACAUUGGAAUUCACACUGGAGAGAGUCCUUUCACAUGCUCUCAGUGUGGAAAUAGUUUCACACAUAAAGGUGACCUUAAGAGACACAGAAGAAUUCACACUGGAGAGAGGCCUUUCAGUUGUCACCUGUGUCAAAAGAGUUUCACUCGUAAAGAACAUCUUAAAACUCACACAAGGAUUCACUCUGAAGAGAACCCUUACGUAUGCCCUCAGUGUGGAAAGAGUUUCAAACAUCUAAGUAACAUAAGAAGACAUAUGACAAUUCAUUCAGAAAUUAAAUUACACUAAUCACAGAGGUGGGUUGUAAUGAAGUACAUUUACUUCGUUACUUUUACUUGAGUAAAGUUUUUGAAAUUUUGUACCGUUAAGAGUAGAUUUAAAUGUUUUACAUUUAACAAUACAUUUCUAAAGAAAAAAAACACCGGGCGACAUUCCUCUCAUUACCUUAUUCUAAUGCAAUACAUAUAAAUGUAGUUUAUUCCAAGCGCUGUCUUUUUUUUUUUUUUUUUUUUUUUUGGGGCAUAAGCAUGCCCCAUUCACAAAUUAGUCAUUCUUUUUAGUCGAUUCUGUUCAAAGACUUCAUCAAACAAGUUGAUAACUUUUUUUAAAACCUUAAUUUAUACAUUAAAUAAGCUACCAUUGUUAACAGAGUAUGAAAUGAACACCGUUAACCCACAAUUUGUGGGUAUUGUGCGGUGGCGGGGACCUGUUUGUCUUGAAAAGGAAUGCCUUUGCUUAGAAACAGUUAAGGACUUUGCAUGCAUUUGCAGAAAUAUACAUGUGAUUAAAUUUUAGAGAAUAAAGAAGAUCCGUCAAUGUAUAUUUGACCGUUGUUUGUGUUCAGAUGCUCAGUAGCAGUCAUCAGCGUGAGCACGUUCCCUUUACAUGCCUUUGAGCGCAAAACUCUGCACUUACUUUAUUUUGACAUUGUCUAAUAAUCCAUAUGUAUCUGUAUAUGUUAUUAUACAAAGCAUAGGAUAUGUAGGCCUAAUGAUAUUGGGGCUACAAAUGAAAUGCCAGAAAUAAUGCUUGUCUCUUCUGUGUUUGUUGCUAAGAUAUUUAAUUAUGAUAAUAAUAUAAUCAUUAACUUGUAGCUACUUGAGUAGUUUUUUUUCAUUGGAUACUUUUUUACUCUUACUCAAGUAACUAUUAAGGUUAUUAGUUUUACUUGAAUAAAUAUUUCUAUAAGUACUUGUACUUUUUUUAUAUGUAAAUCCUUUAUAUUUAAGCACAGAGAACUCUUUUGUCACCAGGUAUUUUUAUAUGUGGUUAAACUGAUGCCAUUACAACUUGGGCUACCUUUUCUAGGCUCUAUUUUAAAACAUUCCAAUUGAAACUGUUUGAUGCAGUUUGUAUAUUCUGUAUUCUUUUAAUGGUAAAUACUAAAUAGUGUGUAUAUUAUUUUUUAUUUUUAUAUUGUGCCCAGUAUUCUGUGUAUUGCAUACACCGAUCAGGCAUAACAUUAUGAUCGUGAAGUGAAUAACACUGAUUAUCUCUUCAUCACGACACCUGUUAGAGGGUGGCAGCAAGUGAACCUUUUGUCCUCAAAGUUGAUGUGUUAGAAGCAGGAAAAAUGGGAAAGUGUAAGGACUUGAGCAAGUUUGACAAGGGCCAAAUUGUGAUGCCUAGACGACUGGGGCAGAACAUCUCCAAAACUGCAGCUUUUGUGGGGUGUUCCCGGUCUGCAGUGGUCCGUAUCUAUCAAAAGUGGUCCAAGGAAGGAACAGUGAACCGGAGAGAGGGUCAUGGGCGGCCAAGGCUCAUUGA
Molecule: RNA transcript, 2626 nt
Organism: Megalobrama amblycephala (Wuchang bream)
Lineage: Eukaryota; Metazoa; Chordata; Actinopteri; Cypriniformes; Xenocyprididae
Gene name: gastrula zinc finger protein XlCGF49.1-like
Exons: 5
Source: RefSeq, a predicted model, not a curated record